RNAcentral lists this transfer RNA (83 nucleotides) under Daldinia sp. FL1419. RNAcentral's name for it is "tRNA-Asp". It matches the Rfam family "tRNA". Rfam says of the family: Transfer RNA (tRNA) molecules are approximately 80 nucleotides in length. Their secondary structure includes four short double-helical elements and three loops (D, anti-codon, and T loops). Further hydrogen bonds mediate the characteristic L-shaped molecular structure. tRNAs have two regions of fundamental functional importance: the anti-codon, which is responsible for specific mRNA codon recognition, and the 3' end, to which the tRNAs corresponding amino acid is attached (by aminoacyl-tRNA synthetases). tRNAs cope with the degeneracy of the genetic code in two manners: having more than one tRNA (with a specific anti-codon) for a particular amino acid; and 'wobble' base-pairing, i.e. permitting non-standard base-pairing at the 3rd anti-codon position. Lineage: Eukaryota; Fungi; Ascomycota; Sordariomycetes; Xylariales; Hypoxylaceae. The record is from RNAcentral.
UCUCGAUUGGUCUAGUGGUCAGGAUACCUGCUUGUCAUCAGACAAGUACGCAGGUGGCCGGGGUUCGAUUCCCCGAUCGAGAG